UAGGGAAUCUUCCGCAAUGGGCGAAAGCUUGACGGAGCAACGCCGCGUGAGUGAUGAAGGUCUUCGGAUCGUAAAACUCUGUUAUUAGGGAAGAACAAAUGUGUAAGUAACUAUGCACGUCUUGACGGUACCUAAUCAGAAAGCCACGGCUAACUACGUGCCAGCAGCCGCGGUAAUACGUAGGUGGCAAGCGUUAUCCGGAAUUAUUGGGCGUAAAGCGCGCGUAGGCGGUUUUUUAAGUCUGAUGUGAAAGCCCACGGAUCAACCGUGGAGGGUCAUUGGAAACUGGAAAACUUGAGUGCAGAAGAGGAAAGUGGAAUUCCAUGUGUAGCGGUGAAAUGCGCAGAGAUAUGGAGGAACACCAGUGGCGAAGGCGACUUUCUGGUCUGUAACUGACGCUGAUGUGCGAAAGCGUGGGGAUCAAACAGG
Molecule: ribosomal RNA, 429 nt
Filed under: Actinomycetes bacterium
Lineage: Bacteria; Bacillati; Actinomycetota; Actinomycetes
Description: Actinobacteria bacterium partial 16S ribosomal RNA
Rfam family: Bacterial small subunit ribosomal RNA
Source: RNAcentral